GGACGAACGCUGGCGGCGUGCUUAACACAUGCAAGUCGAACGGAAAGGCCCUGCUUUUGUGGGGUGCUCGAGUGGCGAACGGGUGAGUAACACGUGAGUAACCUGCCCUUGACUUUGGGAUAACUUCAGGAAACUGGGGCUAAUACCGGAUAGGAGCUCCUGCUGCAUGGUGGGGGUUGGAAAGUUUCGGCGGUUGGGGAUGGACUCGCGGCUUAUCAGCUUGUUGGUGGGGUAGUGGCUUACCAAGGCUUUGACGGGUAGCCGGCCUGAGAGGGUGACCGGCCACAUGGGGACUGAGAUACGGCCCAGACUCCUACGGGAGGCAGCAGUGGGGAAUAUUGCACAAUGGGCGGAAGCCUGAUGCAGCAACGCCGCGUGCGGGAUGACGGCCUUCGGGUUGUAAACCGCUUUCGCCUGUGACGAAGCGUGAGUGACGGUAAUGGGUAAAGAAGCACCGGCUAACUACGU
Molecule: ribosomal RNA, 468 nt
Filed under: uncultured bacterium
Lineage: Bacteria
Description: partial 16S ribosomal RNA
Rfam family: Bacterial small subunit ribosomal RNA
Source: RNAcentral